AAAAAUUUGGGGAAAAGAAAAGAAAGAAGGAAGAAGGAAAGAGAAGAAGAAAGAAGAAGAAAAUCCAAUAAGGUAAUGAAUAAAACCUUGAUUAAUCCUUUAGUUUCCAUGAUAGAAGUUAAGUUUUAUGAUGUUGGUGUAUUUAUGUUGGUAUGUGAUAAAUUAAACUUAUAAAAAUGUGAAUCAAAGGAAAGAAAUCAAGAAAUUAAAAGAAAAACAAAAUCUGAAAAUUUUCAAAAAAAUUAGAGAAAUCACUAAAGCUAAUUCACUAAAGCUAUAGAGCAAUUAUUAUAGAGAAAAAUUAUAGAGAGAAAGAAGAAGAGAAGUUUGCUACCUCACUAAUCCAGUCUUCUUUUGAGGUAAGGAAUAUUAUUUGUUGUACUCGUAAGGGGUAUUAUUUUUUUCAUAUUCAUGAAGAGAACUUCUGAUAUUCCAUUCUUUAUUAUUAUGUUGGAAUAACCUGUUUAGGCGAAGUAUCGCAUACAUGGUGAAAUUCUUCUAUUAUUCCAUUCUUUACUAUUAUGUCGGAAUAUCCUGCC
Molecule: long non-coding RNA, 539 nt
Filed under: Panax ginseng (ginseng)
Lineage: Eukaryota; Viridiplantae; Streptophyta; Magnoliopsida; Apiales; Araliaceae
Description: long non-coding RNA (PGIN_LNC005661)
Source: RNAcentral